This 513-nucleotide unclassified non-coding RNA is filed under the name Fusarium oxysporum. Its description in RNAcentral is "sequence contains ITS1, 5.8S rRNA gene, ITS2". The stretch from base 162 to 315 matches the Rfam family "5.8S ribosomal RNA". Lineage: Eukaryota; Fungi; Ascomycota; Sordariomycetes; Hypocreales; Nectriaceae. The record is from RNAcentral.
GAGGGAUCAUUACCGAGUUUACAACUCCCAAACCCCCUGUGAACAUACCACUUGUUGCCUCGGCGGAUCAGCCCGCUCCCGGUAAAACGGGACGGCCCGCCAGAGGACCCCUAAACUCUGUUUCUAUAUGUAACUUCUGAGUAAAACCAUAAAUAAAUCAAAACUUUCAACAACGGAUCUCUUGGUUCUGGCAUCGAUGAAGAACGCAGCAAAAUGCGAUAAGUAAUGUGAAUUGCAGAAUUCAGUGAAUCAUCGAAUCUUUGAACGCACAUUGCGCCCGCCAGUAUUCUGGCGGGCAUGCCUGUUCGAGCGUCAUUUCAACCCUCAAGCACAGCUUGGUGUUGGGACUCGCGUUAAUUCGCGUUCCCCAAAUUGAUUGGCGGUCACGUCGAGCUUCCAUAGCGUAGUAGUAAAACCCUCGUUACUGGUAAUCGUCGCGGCCACGCCGUUAAACCCCAACUUCUGAAUGUUGACCUCGGAUCAGGUAGGAAUACCCGCUGAACUUAAGCAUAU